This 75-nucleotide non-coding RNA is filed under the name Gemmatimonadota bacterium. Lineage: Bacteria; Pseudomonadati; Gemmatimonadota. The record is from RNAcentral.
AAUCGGUUCCGUGGUGAUUUGCGGCGUAUUGCGGCCACGUAAAACAAUCCGCUAAAAAGCCGGCCCGUUGCGGCU